This 335-nucleotide ribosomal RNA is filed under the name Pseudomonas aeruginosa. Its description in RNAcentral is "bacterial SSU rRNA". It matches the Rfam family "Bacterial small subunit ribosomal RNA", at positions 1 to 338 of the family's 1533-position model. Lineage: Bacteria; Pseudomonadati; Pseudomonadota; Gammaproteobacteria; Pseudomonadales; Pseudomonadaceae. The record is from RNAcentral.
GAACUGAAGAGUUUGAUCAUGGCUCAGAUUGAACGCUGGCGGCAGGCCUAACACAUGCAAGUCGAGCGGAUGAAGGGAGCUUGCUCCUGGAUUCAGCGGCGGACGGGUGAGUAAUGCCUAGGAAUCUGCCUGGUAGUGGGGGAUAACGUCCGGAAACGGGCGCUAAUACCGCAUACGUCCUGAGGGAGAAAGUGGGGGAUCUUCGGACCUCACGCUAUCAGAUGAGCCUAGGUCGGAUUAGCUAGUUGGUGGGGUAAAGGCCUACCAAGGCGACGAUCCGUAACUGGUCUGAGAGGAUGAUCAGUCACACUGGAACUGAGACACGGUCCAGACUC